CAGUCGCCGCGGUAAUACGUAGGUCCCGAGCGUUGUCCGGAUUUAUUGGGCGUAAAGCGAGCGCAGGCGGUUAGAUAAGUCUGAAGUUAAAGGCUGUGGCUUAACCUUAGUACGCUUUGGAAACUGUUUAACUUGAGUGCAAGAGGGGAGAGUGGAAUUCCACGUGUAGCGGUGAAAUGCGUAGAUAUAUGGAGGAACACCGGUGGUGAAAGCGGCUCUCUGGCUUGUAACUGACGCUGAGGCUCGAAAGCGUGGGGAGCAAACAGGAUUAGAUACCCCCGUAGUCCCUGUCUCUUAUACA
Molecule: ribosomal RNA, 301 nt
Filed under: uncultured bacterium
Lineage: Bacteria
Description: partial 16S ribosomal RNA
Rfam family: Bacterial small subunit ribosomal RNA
Source: RNAcentral